UGCUUCUCCGUCUUCCCGCUCUACUAAAACACAAAAAUAUUUCGAAGAUAAAAUAUAAAUCAAUCCAACUUGUUUCUGAAAAAAACAAUAAAAAAAAACACAUUGAUUUUGGAUACAACAUUUCAAUUAAUUGAAGAUGGCAAAUUCGUCAAUGCCUAUUGAGCGUCUUCAAGCCCUUGAUAAUGUUGAAAAAGAAAUCGCGAGUUGCAUUCAGAGUGCUGGACAAGCUCUUACAGAACUGAGUAAAGAUAAAGCAAGCAUGAAACAAGUAGAAAGUCACACUUCACAAUUUUUGAAAACUCUCAAUCAUGUUGAAGGAGAGUUAUCAAAACAUAUUAAUUACUUGACACAGGUCUCAACAGGACAACCUCAUGAAGGCUCAGCUUAUGGCUCAGUGAAAAUGUAUAAAACUGCUCGGCAUAGGUUGGAGCACACUCGCUCAAGACUUCAAGAUCUAGAAAAUCUGAAAAAUAGAGCGUUGGCAUCCACAGUUAGGCCAGCAUCAGCACAAAACAAUCCAUGACUGUUGUCAUAUUUUGCACCAUGGAUAUUGUACUGUUUCCAUUUGAAUAUGUAACUUUUCAUAAAUAGAUGCGGCGACCUGAUGCCAAACGGGGGGGGAAAAUCAACCAACAAAAACAGCAAGGAAUUAUUCAGUACCCUAGGUCACCAAAUGAGACAUAGAUGUCGUUCGCUGAAAGCUUCCUUCGCGGCGUUUUCAAGGGAGUUCCGUUG
Molecule: RNA transcript, 735 nt
Organism: Daphnia magna
Lineage: Eukaryota; Metazoa; Arthropoda; Branchiopoda; Diplostraca; Daphniidae
Gene name: mediator of RNA polymerase II transcription subunit 11-like
Exons: 5
Source: RefSeq, a predicted model, not a curated record